This 233-nucleotide ribosomal RNA is filed under the name uncultured bacterium. RNAcentral's name for it is "partial 16S ribosomal RNA". It matches the Rfam family "Bacterial small subunit ribosomal RNA", at positions 100 to 334 of the family's 1533-position model. The record is from RNAcentral.
CGGGACGGGUGAGUAAUGUCUGGGAAACUGCCUGAUGGAGGGGGAUAACUACUGGAAACGGUAGCUAAUACCGCAUAACGUCGCAAGACCAAAGAGGGGGACCUUCGGGCCUCUUGCCAUCGGAUGUGCCCAGAUGGGAUUAGCUAGUAGGUGGGGUAAAGGCUCACCUAGGCGACGAUCCCUAGCUGGUCUGAGAGGAUGACCAGCCACACUGGAACUGAGACAUGGUCCAG